GACGAACCGUGCGAACGUUAUUCGGAAUCACUGGGCUUAAAGGGCGCGUAGGCGGGCCGCCAAGUCAGGGGUGAAAUCUUUCGGCUCAACCGGAAAAGUGCCUUUGAUACUGGCGGUCUCGAGGGAGGUAGGGGCGUGCGGAACUUCCGGUGGAGCGGUGAAAUGCGUAGAUAUCGGAAGGAACGCCGAUGGCGAAAGCAGCGCGCUGGACCUCUUCUGACGCUGAGGCGCGAAAGCCAGGGGAGCAAACGGG
RNAcentral lists this ribosomal RNA (253 nucleotides) under uncultured bacterium. Its description in RNAcentral is "partial 16S ribosomal RNA". It matches the Rfam family "Bacterial small subunit ribosomal RNA", at positions 524 to 776 of the family's 1533-position model. The record is from RNAcentral.